Molecule: long non-coding RNA, 778 nt
Organism: Macrobrachium nipponense
Lineage: Eukaryota; Metazoa; Arthropoda; Malacostraca; Decapoda; Palaemonidae
Exons: 2
Source: RefSeq, a predicted model, not a curated record
UUUUGCCUUUCAUAGUAUGAAUGUACUAUUGUAUGUGUGCAAUGAUUAGUAUUUGAAUUCUGCAACUUCCUCGCAGGGACCUUAUAAUUUGUUAAUCUGCAUUCUGAUGCAUGAUGUAUCCAUAAACUGUCCUGUCUAGUAAAAUCCAUAAUUUUUUUUAUGUAAUAUCAGUUACUCUUCCUACCAGUUGUUAGUGUUUGGCCUUCUAAUUGUCACCCACUGUGAAAAUAUUUUUUUUCCUGGCAGUUUCUGCAAUAAACAAUGCUUCACUUAAAUAAUAUAUAUAGAUUGGCAUUUUUCUCUGUUUUCUCAUCUAAUUCAUGCUUUCUAUUCCCACCACACAUGCUACUACAAAAUUCUAUUGUUACAGUAUUUCACCAAGGCUUAAUUUUCAGGAACAUCGGUGCUCCAGGCUAUCCGCUUCAUAGUUGCAGUUGAUGGAAGAUUCAUCAACUCAGACUUGACCUCACUCGUGCUGCGAUAGCCAUGGUUUUCGCAGCAUUUAUGAUAUUUGAUAUUUAUUACCCAUCAGAAGCUUCAGUCACAAUGGAAUUUAUGCAGAGGUGUUUCUGAAAAAUAAAUGCAGAAAAAGGGACAAAAAAUACCAGAACAAAGAAAAACGUGGCACACACCCAUCGAAGAAUAUUAAAGUUCAAUGAGCUUAUGGAAUAAGGAGUGAAAAAGCAUUCACACUCUUCUGUAUAAAUAAUUAAUGUUAAAUUUUGUGUUAAAAAAGUUAAAAAUCUGUUUUUCAUGAAUAAAGUUUUUUGAAAGUUAA